This 279-nucleotide ribosomal RNA is filed under the name uncultured bacterium. RNAcentral's name for it is "partial 16S ribosomal RNA". It matches the Rfam family "Bacterial small subunit ribosomal RNA", at positions 506 to 784 of the family's 1533-position model. The record is from RNAcentral.
UGCCAGCAGCCGCGGUAACACGGGGGGCGCAAGCGUUAUUCGGAAUUAUUGGGCGUAAAGGGCGCGCAGGCGGUCUUGUCCGUCAGGUGUGAAAGCUCGGGGCUCAACCCCGGAAGUGCACUUGAAACAGCAAGACUUGAGUACGGUAGAGGAAAGCGGAAUUCCUGGUGUAGAGGUGAAAUUCGUAGAUAUCAGGAGGAACACCGGUGGCGAAGGCGGCUUUCUGGACCGAAACUGACGCUGAGGUGCGAAAGCGUGGGGAGCAAACAGGAUUAGAUA